GAGCUUCGGUUCUGUUCUAGCGGCGGACGGGUGAGUAACGCGUGAACAAUCUGUCCCAGACUGGGGGAUAACACUUGGAAACAGGUGCUAAUACCGCAUAAGACCACGACCUCGCAUGGGGUUGAGGUAAAAGGAGCAAUCCGGUUUGGGGUGAGUUCGCGUCCCAUUAGCUAGUUGGUGAGGUAACGGCCCACCAAGGCGACGAUGGGUAGCCGACCUGAGAGGGUGAUCGGCCACACUGGAACUGAGACACGGUCCAGACUCCUACGGGAGGCAGCAGUGGGGAAUAUUGGGCAAUGGGGGAAACCCUGACCCAGCAACGCCGCGUGAGGGAAGAAGGUUUUCGGAUUGUAAACCUCUGUCCUCAGGGAAGAAACAAAUGACGGUACCUGAGGAGGAAGCCCCGGCUAACUACGUGCCAGCAGCCGCGGUAAUACGUAGGGGGCAAGCGUUGUCCGGAAUGACUGGGCGUAAAGGGCGCGUAGGCGGCUCAAUAAGUCUGGAGUGAAAGUCCUGCUUUCAAGGUGGGAAUUGCUUUGGAAACUGUAGAGCUUGAGUGCGGAAGAGGUAAGUGGAAUUCCCAGUGUAGCGGUG
Molecule: ribosomal RNA, 594 nt
Filed under: uncultured bacterium
Lineage: Bacteria
Description: bacterial SSU rRNA
Rfam family: Bacterial small subunit ribosomal RNA
Source: RNAcentral